GGAGGGUGCAAGCGUUGUUCGGAAUUACUGGGCGUAAAGCGUGUGUAGGCGGAUUCGGUAGUCGGGUGUGAAAGCCCUGGGCUCAACCCAGGAAGUGCGCCCGAAACCACGGAUCUUGAGUUCCGGAGGGGAUCGGGGAAUUCCCAGUGUAGAGGUGAAAUUCGUAGAUAUUGGGAGGAACACCGGCGGCGAAGGCGCCGAUCUGGACGGACACUGACGCUGAGACACGAAAGCGUGGGUAGCAAACAGGAUUAGAUACCCUGGGUAGUCCACGCCGUAAACGAUGUGCACUAGGUGUCGGGGGUAUUGACCCCCCCCUCGGUGCCGACGCUAACGCAUUAAGUGCACCGCCUGGGAAGUACGGCCGCAAGGCUG
This 375-nucleotide ribosomal RNA is filed under the name uncultured organism. RNAcentral's name for it is "partial 16S ribosomal RNA". It matches the Rfam family "Bacterial small subunit ribosomal RNA", at positions 527 to 896 of the family's 1533-position model. The record is from RNAcentral.